GACGAACGCUGGCGGCGUGCUUAACACAUGCAAGUCGAACGGAAAGGCCCUGCUUUUGUGGGGUGCUCGAGUGGCGAACGGGUGAGUAACACGUGAGUAACCUGCCCUUGACUUUGGGAUAACUUCAGGAAACUGGGGCUAAUACCGGAUAGGAGCUCCUGCUGCAUGGUGGGGGUUGGAAAGUUUCGGCGGUUGGGGAUGGACUCGCGGCUUAUCAGCUUGUUGGUGGGGUAGUGGCUUACCAAGGCUUUGACGGGUAGCCGGCCUGGGAGGGUGACAGGCCACAUUGGGACUGAGAUACGGCCCAGACUCCUACGGGAGGCAGCAGUGGGGAAUAUUGCACAAUGGGCGGAAGCCUGAUGCAGCAACGCCGCGUGCGGGAUGACGGCCUUCGGGUUGUAAACCGCUUUCGCCUGUGACGAAGCGUGAGUGACGGUAAUGGGUAAAGAAGCACCGGCUAACUACGUG
This 468-nucleotide ribosomal RNA is filed under the name uncultured bacterium. Its description in RNAcentral is "partial 16S ribosomal RNA". It matches the Rfam family "Bacterial small subunit ribosomal RNA", at positions 28 to 507 of the family's 1533-position model. The record is from RNAcentral.